AAAUUGAAGAGUUUGAUCAUGGCUCAGAUUGAACGCUGGCGGCAGGCCUAACACAUGCAAGUCGAGCGGUAGCACAGAGAGCUUGCUCUCGGGUGACGAGCGGCGGACGGGUGAGUAAUGUCUGGGAAACUGCCUGAUGGAGGGGGAUAACUACUGGAAACGGUAGCUAAUACCGCAUAAUGUCGCAAGACCAAAGUGGGGGACCUUCGGGCCUCAUGCCAUCAGAUGUGCCCAGAUGGGAUUAGCUAGUAGGUGGGGUAACGGCUCACCUAGGCGACGAUCCCUAGCUGGUCUGAGAGGAUGACCAGCCACACUGGAACUGAGACACGGUCCAGACUCCUACGGGAGGCAGCAGUGGGGAAUAUUGCACAAUGGGCGCAAGCCUGAUGCAGCCAUGCCGCGUGUGUGAAGAAGGCCUUCGGGUUGUAAAGCACUUUCAGCGGGGAGGAAGGCGGUGAGGUUAAUAACCUCAUCGAUUGACGUUACCCGCAGAAGAAGCACCGGCUAACUCCGUGCCAGCAGCCGCGGUAAUACGGAGGGUGCAAGCGUUAAUCGGAAUUACUGGGCGUAAAGCGCACGCAGGCGGUCUGUCAAGUCGGAUGUGAAAUCCCCGGGCUUAACCUGGGAACUGCAUUCGAAACUGGCAGGCUAGAGUCUUGUAGAGGGGGGUAGAAUUCCAGGUGUAGCGGUGAAAUGCGUAGAGAUCUGGAGGAAUACCGGUGGCGAAGGCGGCCCCCUGGACAAAGACUGACGCUCAGGUGCGAAAGCGUGGGGAGCAAACAGGAUUAGAUACCCUGGUAGUCCACGCCGUAAACGAUGUCGAUUUGGAGGUUGUGCCCUUGAGGCGUGGCUUCCGGAGCUAACGCGUUAAAUCGACCGCCUGGGGAGUACGGCCGCAAGGUUAAAACUCAAAUGAAUUGACGGGGGCCCGCACAAGCGGUGGAGCAUGUGGUUUAAUUCGAUGCAACGCGAAGAACCUUACCUGGUCUUGACAUCCACAGAACUUUCCAGAGAUGGAUUGGUGCCUUCGGGAACUGUGAGACAGGUGCUGCAUGGCUGUCGUCAGCUCGUGUUGUGAAAUGUUGGGUUAAGUCCCGCAACGAGCGCAACCCUUAUCCUUUGUUGCCAGCGGUUAGGCCGGGAACUCAAAGGAGACUGCCAGUGAUAAACUGGAGGAAGGUGGGGAUGACGUCAAGUCAUCAUGGCCCUUACGACCAGGGCUACACACGUGCUACAAUGGCAUAUACAAAGAGAAGCGACCUCGCGAGAGCAAGCGGACCUCAUAAAGUAUGUCGUAGUCCGGAUUGGAGUCUGCAACUCGACUCCAUGAAGUCGGAAUCGCUAGUAAUCGUAGAUCAGAAUGCUACGGUGAAUACGUUCCCGGGCCUUGUACACACCGCCCGUCACACCAUGGGAGUGGGUUGCAAAAGAAGUAGGUAGCUUAACCUUCGGGAGGGCGCUUACCACUUUGUGAUUCAUGACUGGGGUGAAGUCGUAACAAGGUAACCGUAGGGGAACCUGCGGUUGGAUCACCUCCUUA
This 1540-nucleotide ribosomal RNA is filed under the name Klebsiella pneumoniae. RNAcentral's name for it is "bacterial SSU rRNA". It matches the Rfam family "Bacterial small subunit ribosomal RNA". The record is from RNAcentral. RNAcentral also lists the same sequence under 1 other name. Lineage: Bacteria; Pseudomonadati; Pseudomonadota; Gammaproteobacteria; Enterobacterales; Enterobacteriaceae.